CUACGGGAGGCUCCAGUGGGGAAUAUUGCGCAAUGGGCGAAAGCCUGACGCAGUCAUGCCGCGUGUGUGAAGAAGGCCUUCGGGUUGUAAAGCACUUUCAAUUGGGAGGAAAGGUUCAAGCUUAAUACGCUUGAGCUGUGACGUUACCUUUAGAAGAAGCACCGGCUAACUCCGUGCCAGCAGCCGCGGUAAUACGGAGGGUGCAAGCGUUAAUCGGAAUUACUGGGCGUAAAGCGCACGCAGGCGGUUUGUUAAGUCAGAUGUGAAAUCCCCGGGCUCAACCUGGGAACUGCAUCUGAUACUGGCAAGCUUGAGUCUCGUAGAGGGGGGUAGAAUUCCAGGUGUAGCGGUGAAAUGCGUAGAGAUCUGGAGGAAUACCGGUGGCGAAGGCGGCCCCCUGGACGAAGACUGACGCUCAGGUGCGAAAGCGUGGGGAGCAAACAGGAUUAGAUACCCGAGUAGUC
This 464-nucleotide ribosomal RNA is filed under the name uncultured bacterium. Its description in RNAcentral is "partial 16S ribosomal RNA". It matches the Rfam family "Bacterial small subunit ribosomal RNA", at positions 339 to 795 of the family's 1533-position model. The record is from RNAcentral.